GAGUAACACGUUGGUACCUGCCCCGAAGGUGGGGGAAUAACUGCCCGAAAGGGUAGCUAAUACCGCAUAAUCCCGCAAGGGUAAAGCAGUAAUGCGCUUCGGGGAGGGGCCUGCGUCCCAUUAGCUUGUUGGUAGUGUAAUGGACUACCAAGGCGACGAGUGGGUAGCUGGACCGAGAGGUUGACCAGCCACACUGGGACUGAGAUACGGCCCAG
Molecule: ribosomal RNA, 215 nt
Filed under: uncultured bacterium
Lineage: Bacteria
Description: partial 16S ribosomal RNA
Rfam family: Bacterial small subunit ribosomal RNA
Source: RNAcentral